This 633-nucleotide long non-coding RNA is filed under the name Cricetulus griseus (Chinese hamster). RNAcentral describes it as "lncRNA (ENSCGRG00015033753.1)". The record is from RNAcentral. Lineage: Eukaryota; Metazoa; Chordata; Mammalia; Rodentia; Cricetidae.
AAAAAAAAAAAUCCCAGCCCCACCCAGGAGGUUCUCAGAGUUCCAGAAGAUUCACUUUCAAUUGAAAUACCCCUAAACUUACUAGCUGCUUCCUGGAACACAGGUGGUUUUAGAUUCUGUGAAAAGUACCUUGUGGAUUGAAGGUUGGGGGAAGAAACGUUCAGAGGACUUUCUUCAUGCCCUGUCGCUGAUUCCCCACUGUGGGAGCAGGUGGGACACUGGGAUGCUGGGAAAGGAAUGGAACCUGCAUCGCUCAGCCUGUCCCUCGUGCUGUAUGCAUGGACCUGACCUGUCUAGGCUUCUGCAUCCUCCAGGCCUCAGCUCCAGGCUGACCCAGCUCCUGCCCAGGGAGAACUUCAAUAGUCCAGCUGCUCGGCUGAGUGGGUGGGUUAUUUCAAAGCAGGGGAGUGGGAAUAGGAAGCCCACUUGGGUUUUUGGGUCCUAGCCAUAUCCUCCGGUCCAUCUGGCCCCCAAAGAAAGCCAACAUUUGAAUCCCUGUGUGUCUCCUGUGACUAUUUCUCUACUGGAUCAAAACCUGGAGAAGUGUGUAUGGGGGGGGGGGUUGUGUGACUAACCAAGACCCACAAAACCCAACCUCUGUUGAAUACUUAGCUACAGUAAGAAAAGUCGCCG